AGUGAACGCUGGCGGUAGGCCUAACACAUGCAAGUCGAACGGCAGCACAGUAAGAGCUUGCUCUUACGGGUGGCGAGUGGCGGACGGGUGAGGAAUACAUCGGAAUCUACUUUUUCGUGGGGGAUAACGUAGGGAAACUUACGCUAAUACCGCAUACGACCUACGGGUGAAAGCAGGGGAUCUUCGGACCUUGCGCGAAUGAAUGAGCCGAUGUCGGAUUAGCUAGUUGGCGGGGUAAAGGCCCACCAAGGCGACGGUCCGUAGCUGGUCUGAGAGGAUGAUCAGCCACACUGUAACUGAGACACGGUCCAGACUCCUACGGGAGGCAGCAGUGGGGAAUAUUGGACGAUGGGCGCAAGCCUGAUCCAGCCAUACCGCGUUGGUGAAGAAGGCCUGCGGGUUGUAAAGCCCUUUUGUUGGGAAAGAAAAGCAGCAGGUUAAUACCCCGCUGUUCUGACGGUACCCAAAGAAUAAGCACCGGCUAACUUCGUG
RNAcentral lists this ribosomal RNA (492 nucleotides) under uncultured bacterium. RNAcentral's name for it is "partial 16S ribosomal RNA". It matches the Rfam family "Bacterial small subunit ribosomal RNA", at positions 29 to 507 of the family's 1533-position model. The record is from RNAcentral.